GCUUCCUCCGAUGACUUUUAUACCUAUCCAAUCAGUAUUCUUAUUUUUUUAAAAUAAUCAAUAUUAUGGUUGACAUUACUGUCAAUUCAAGUAUUCUUUACAUUGGUUCUGUACAGUAUUUGAAAGAGAAGAGGCUUCCUCCGAUGACUUUUAUACCUCUCCAAUCAGUUCGAGUUAAGCCUAUCAUUGAGAAGUUACGUACUUUAGGUGGUACAGCAAAGCUGGUCUUUGAUGUAAUUCAAUAUCCUUUGCCUAAGCUUCCAUAAGUUUUGUUUCUAUUGUGAGGCAGAAACAUCCCAUGUGCUUGUUUGUUCUUUCUUGUUGAAAUUGCUUCUAUUUGCUCUGAAUUUUUCAUUUCAAACCUUAAGAAAAGUUUUGUUUCCCUGAGGAAAACAAAACAAAUAUUUCCCUGUAACUAAUUUAAAG
Molecule: long non-coding RNA, 426 nt
Filed under: Citrus x clementina
Lineage: Eukaryota; Viridiplantae; Streptophyta; Magnoliopsida; Sapindales; Rutaceae
Description: Citrus clementina (C. clementina) long non-coding RNA (CCLE_LNC004612)
Source: RNAcentral